Molecule: long non-coding RNA, 2496 nt
Organism: Syngnathus typhle (broad-nosed pipefish)
Lineage: Eukaryota; Metazoa; Chordata; Actinopteri; Syngnathiformes; Syngnathidae
Exons: 5
Source: RefSeq, a predicted model, not a curated record
UAAGGACAAACAGAUGGGCGAGCUCCUGGCCGUUUACUUUUCCAAUAAGUAGGACGGUAGCAUAUCACACCUCGAGGCCUUGGAUCAUCCCAAGAUGCGUUUAGAGAAAGGCAAGGUGUGUCUGAGCUCCAGGCUGACUUGAAAAGAAAUAGUGUCUUUCAAACUGCCUGUGCCAAGCUACAUGCUUGCUAAAGUAGCUGCUAAGAGAGACGGGUGGAGCAGACAUUUGAUUAAAAAGUCUGCUAACAAGAAGCCCAAACAACGUAACACACCUUGUAGGCAUAUAAAUCCGGCAAUCACCCCGAUGAUGGAUGAGGCUGGCCCCGACAGCUAUUGGACGGAUACCUGACCCCAGUCACAUGAUGAGCUUCAAUUGCCAGGUUACAAGUCAUCCCGGUUGCUGCAGGGGACGUGGUGUUAAGUUAUGAAGCUUUCUGUGUAAACUGGAGACUUUUAAAGUGUUUGGUGCUUGAAAAGCUAUCAUGUUCAGGAAAUGUAUGUUCAGCUGACCUAAAAAGGCAAACAGACACACUGUAGUGAUUCUUGUAGUUUUUUUGUUGUUGAUAAUAUUGUAACAUUAUGAUGUUAAUUUGAACACUUGUUUAAAAAGUAAUUUUCUGACUUAAUUCUUAUAUUGUAAGGUUCUUAUUUUCGCGCAGUAAUUUUUGUGAUGCUUUCAUAAAUUCACCUGUUCAUAGGGAUACCAAAAAAACUCAACAUAAUUAAAAUGAGUCUGAAGCAACUGUCUUACUGAACAUUCGCGCGUAUUUAAAAAAAAAAAAACCAUACAUUAGAAAAAUAUUUCAAACAUAAUAUAGAACUCUACGAUAAAAGCAAAAUUAUUUCAUAAAAACAAAAUGACAAACUAAUAUAGAACUCAUAAACCAAUUACCGGAUACAGUCUGUUUGAUCAGAGCCAAUAAUUAAGGCUUUGAUGACUAUCGUGACAUAAAUGAAAUGUCAGCUGAUAAAGGUUUGCGGUAGCAAAGUGUAAGCGAAAACGUUACAUCUAAGAUGACAUUUGACUGGGCAAACAAAGUCAAGUCCAAGAGUACACAGUCCCAAAGUCCACCACCAUCACAAUCAUUACUUCUUUCCUGAGUUAUUUACAAUAGAAAAUGAACCCACUCUGAAAAUGUCAAGUAGGGACAGACGAAUUUGUUUAGCGUUGUUGAACUUCAGCCUAGUGUUGAGUGAAUGUCUUCAUUAUGCACUAUGAACAUGUGCGUCAACUCUUUGUUUUACCCUGUUAAGUAAAUACUGUAGAAUUAUUAAAAGGCCUCGGCAUUUCAAGUGCUGUCUACUGCCAACAAUUUGUUUGGAGGAGCAGCCAAGCUUGGGCCCUGAGGCUGGAGAAUGCACUAUAAUGGGGUGUUUAUGUGUGUCAGACUAUGUGUGGAUGUGUGUGUGGGGCGUUGGUGAACGCGUGUACCUGCCUGCCCGGACGAGUCUGAUAAUGGUGUGAACCAAAAGCGGUGCGACGAGUAUUGGAACAUCCCCGCAAACAAGUAUUUCCUUCAUGGUGUCAUUUUUUUCCCCAACAGUGCCAAUUUAAAUAUAGUUUAUGAAAUAGUUUACACUCAUUUGUCCACAUUCAAAGUGUUGUGGUGUGACCAAAAAAUAAAUAUGUUAAGUUAGUCAGAGAAAAGAUAUGACUACUGUUUUUCCCGUUAAUGAAUAAAAUUCACAUUUAAAAACUGCAUUUUAAGUUUACUUACAUAAAAAUGAGGGGAAAAAUAAGAAUUUGAGAAGGGAGCAAAUAACUUUGCACAGCACUGGAGAAAAAAAUAUAAUCUGAACGAUAUUUAUUCAGCACACAGAGAAGGAAGGUUUGCUUUAAAGAAUAUCAAAAUGUAUUUUUUUGCUCUAACGUCACCUGCGGUCCACACUUCCAUAGAACCACCCCUAUGCCUAUACAGCCUAUUUGCAAAGUUUCUAAAUUCGAGUAAGCUGAUGUAAGCUUUGCUUGCUUGCCACACAAGACAACGGAACCAACAAACUAUUCACAAACAUCCGUGUGCCAUCCGGGUGCCUUGACCAAAUUCUCUGCCUUUCCCGCCGAUUCGGGGUCAGCUGUGAGGGGAUAACCUCGUCCUUAACUUUCACAGAAGCCCAGAUGGCGACCGAUCCAAAACCUAGCUCACAGAUUCAGCUGCGCUGGCCGCAAUUUAACCCCCUAAGCCAACCCCUCAGCCCGGGUGACGGCCAAGGUCGCAGACGCUCAUUCGAGAUAGUGGAAGGAAUUAGAUAAGGGCUGAGCGGCCCUCAUCUGGCUAAGCCUGCCUGAACGCAACACGGGAGGUAAACACCCAGGGAAGGAAGGACUCAGAGGGGCUACAGAUGGUGCGCCCUGGGCCUGGUGACUGAAGCUCCCAAUGAGCUCCUUUUGGAUGCAGUGUGAUGCAGACAAACAGGGCGGAAGACAAAGCGCAGCGGAAGGAGGGUGUGAGGCGCUGCAAAAAAGGGAGGCGAACCUUUUUUCCUUCAAGGGGGGUA